GGUGAGUGGCGGACGGGUGAGUAACACGUGGGUAACCUGCCCAAAAGUGGGGGAUAACAUUUGGAAACAAGUGCUAAUACCGCAUAACAACUACUUUCACAUGAUCGUAGCUUGAAAGAUGGCUCUGCUAUCGCUUUUGGAUGGACCCGCGGCGUAUUAGCUAGUUGGUGAGGUAAUAGCUCACCAAGGCAAUGAUACGUAGCCGACCUGAGAGGGUAAUCGGCCACAUUGGGACUGAGACACGGCCCAAACUCCUACGGGAGGCAGCAGUAGGGAAUCUUCCACAAUGGGCGAAAGCCUGAUGGAGCAAUGCCGCGUGAGUGAAGAAGGUUUUCGGAUCGUAAAACUCUGUUGUUGAAGAAGAACAUGCGUGAGAGUAACUGUUCACGUACUGACGGUAUUCAACCAGAAAGCCACGGCUAACUACGUGCCAGCAGCCGCGGUAAUACGUAGGUGGCAAGCGUU
This 465-nucleotide ribosomal RNA is filed under the name Lactobacillus sp. RNAcentral describes it as "bacterial SSU rRNA". It matches the Rfam family "Bacterial small subunit ribosomal RNA", at positions 90 to 542 of the family's 1533-position model. The record is from RNAcentral. Lineage: Bacteria; Bacillati; Bacillota; Bacilli; Lactobacillales; Lactobacillaceae.